CGAGCGUCAUUACAAACCUUCAAGCUCUGCUUGGUCUUGGGCUUCGCCGCCAACCCGGCGGGCCUUAAAAUUAGUGGCGGUGCGUCGUGGCCCUGAGCGUAGUAAAUAUCCUCGCUAUAGGGACUCGGUGGCUGCUGGCCAACAACUCCCAACUUUUCAAGUUUGACCUCGGAUCAGGUAGGGAUACCCGCUGAACUUAA
This 200-nucleotide unclassified non-coding RNA is filed under the name soil metagenome. RNAcentral's name for it is "partial contains internal transcribed spacer 2 and large subunit ribosomal RNA". The record is from RNAcentral.